RNAcentral lists this ribosomal RNA (276 nucleotides) under uncultured prokaryote. RNAcentral's name for it is "partial 16S ribosomal RNA". It matches the Rfam family "Bacterial small subunit ribosomal RNA", at positions 524 to 797 of the family's 1533-position model. The record is from RNAcentral.
CACGUAGGAGGCAAACGUUAUCCGGAUUUACUGGGCGUAAAGCGCGUGUAGGUGGUUCUGUAAGUAGGGCGUGAAAGCUCCCGGCUCAACUGGGAGAGGCCGUUCUAAACUGCAGAGCUAGAGGAUGGUAGAGGGAGGUGGAAUUCCAGGUGUAGCGGUGGAAUGCGCAGAUAUCUGGAGGAACACCAGUGGCGAAGGCGGCCUCCUGGACCAUUCCUGACACUCAGACGCGAAAGCUAGGGUAGCAAACGGGGAUUAGAUACCCCCGUACGUCCU